RNAcentral lists this transfer RNA (77 nucleotides) under Chloroflexota bacterium. RNAcentral describes it as "Chloroflexi bacterium (rhizosphere metagenome) tRNA-Arg". It matches the Rfam family "tRNA". From Rfam's summary of the family: Transfer RNA (tRNA) molecules are approximately 80 nucleotides in length. The record is from RNAcentral. RNAcentral also lists the same sequence under 1 other name. Lineage: Bacteria; Bacillati; Chloroflexota.
GCGGGCGUAGCUCAGUUGGAUAGAGCAAAGGUCUUCUAAACCUUAGGUCGCUGGUUCGAGUCCAGUCGCCCGUGCCA